This 455-nucleotide ribosomal RNA is filed under the name uncultured bacterium. Its description in RNAcentral is "bacterial SSU rRNA". It matches the Rfam family "Bacterial small subunit ribosomal RNA", at positions 340 to 793 of the family's 1533-position model. The record is from RNAcentral.
UACGGGAGCAGCAGUCGAGAAUCUUCCGCAAUGGGCGCAAGCCUGACGGAGCGACGCCGCGUGAAGGAUGACGGCCCUCGGGUUGUAAACUUCUGUCAGUCGAGAAGAACGUCCAAGGUGACCCCUGGGACUGACGUUAUCGACAGAGGAAGCCACGGCUAACUUCGUGCCAGCAGCCGCGGUAAUACGAAGGUGGCAACCGUUGCUCGGAUUUACUGGGCAUAAAGCGCGCGUAGGCGGUUACGCAAGUCAUCGGUGAAAUCCUCCGGCCCAACCGGAGAAUAGCCGCUGAAACUGCGUAACUUGAGUACGGGAGGGGAGAGUGGAACUCUUGGUGUAGCGGUGAAAUGCGUAGAUAUCAAGAGGAACGCCGGUGGCGAAAGCGACUCUCUGGACCGUAACUGACGCUGAGGUGCGAAAGCUAGGGGAGCAAACAGGAUUAGAUACCCUGGUAG